This 419-nucleotide ribosomal RNA is filed under the name uncultured ammonia-oxidizing beta proteobacterium. RNAcentral describes it as "bacterial SSU rRNA". It matches the Rfam family "Bacterial small subunit ribosomal RNA", at positions 197 to 597 of the family's 1533-position model. The record is from RNAcentral. Lineage: Bacteria; Pseudomonadati; Pseudomonadota; Betaproteobacteria.
UGGAGAAAAGCAGGGGAUCGUAAGACCUUGCGCUUUUGGAGUGGCCGAUGCCUGAUUAGCUAGUUGGUGGGGUAAGAGCCUACCAAGGCGACGAUCAGUAGUUGGUCUGAGAGGACGACCAGCCACACUGGGACUGAGACACGGCCCAGACUCCUACGGGAGGCAGCAGUGGGGAAUUUUGGACAAUGGGCGGAAGCCUGAUCCAGCAAUGCCGCGUGAGUGAAGAAGGCCUUCGGGUUGUAAAGCUCUUUCAGUCGAGAAGAAAAGGUUGCGACUAAUAAUCGCAACUUAUGACGGUAUCGACAGAAGAAGCACCGGCUAACUACGUGCCAGCAGCCGCGGUAAUACGUAGGGUGCGAGCGUUAAUCGGAAUUACUGGGCGUAAAGGGUGCGCAGGCGGCUCUGUAAGUCAGAUGUGA